This 429-nucleotide ribosomal RNA is filed under the name Gemmatimonadota bacterium. RNAcentral's name for it is "Gemmatimonadetes bacterium partial 16S ribosomal RNA". It matches the Rfam family "Bacterial small subunit ribosomal RNA", at positions 355 to 776 of the family's 1533-position model. The record is from RNAcentral. Lineage: Bacteria; Pseudomonadati; Gemmatimonadota.
UAGGGAAUCUUCGGCAAUGGACGAAAGUCUGACCGAGCAACGCCGCGCGAGUGAAGAAGGUUUUCGGAUCGUAAAACUCUGUUGUUAGAGAAGAACAAGGACGUUAGUAACUGAACGUCCCCUGACGGUAUCUAACCAGAAAGCCACGGCUAACUACGUGCCAGCAGCCGCGGUAAUACGUAGGUGGCAAGCGUUGUCCGGAUUUAUUGGGCGUAAAGCGAGCGCAGGCGGUUUCUUAAGUCUGAUGUGAAAGCCCCCGGCUCAACCGGGGAGGGUCAUUGGAAACUGGGAGACUUGAGUGCAGAAGAGGAGGGUGGAAUUCCAUGUGUAGCGGUGAAAUGCGUAGAUAUAUGGAGGAACACCAGUGGCGAAGGCGGCUCUCUGGUCUGUAACUGACGCUGAGGCUCGAAAGCGUGGGGAACAAACAGG